CCUACGGGAGACAGCAGUGAGGAAUAUUGGUCAAUGGCCGGAAGGCUGAACCAGCCAUGCCGCGUGAAGGUCAGUGCCCUAUGGGCGUUAAACUUCUUUUGUGCGGGAGCAAUAAUGGUCACGUGUGGCCAGACGAGAGUACCGUACGAAUAAGCAUCGGCUAACUCCGUGCCAGCAGCCGCGGUAAUACGGGGGAUGCAAGCGUUAUCCGGAUUUAUUGGGUUUAAAGGGUGCGUAGGCUGUGAGGUAAGUCAGCGGUGAAAUGCCCCCGCUCAACGGGGUGAAGUGCCAUUGAUACUGCCUGGCUGGAAUGCGGAUGUCGUGGGAGGAAUGUGUGGUGUAGCGGUGAAAUGCAUAGAUAUCACACAGAACACCGAUUGCGAAGGCAUCUCACGAAUCCGCGAUUGACGCUGAUGCACGAAAGCGUGGGUAUCAAACAGGAUUAGAUACCCCAGUAGUC
RNAcentral lists this ribosomal RNA (460 nucleotides) under uncultured bacterium. Its description in RNAcentral is "partial 16S ribosomal RNA". It matches the Rfam family "Bacterial small subunit ribosomal RNA", at positions 338 to 795 of the family's 1533-position model. The record is from RNAcentral.